RNAcentral lists this ribosomal RNA (557 nucleotides) under Theileria annulata. RNAcentral's name for it is "SSU rRNA". It matches the Rfam family "Eukaryotic small subunit ribosomal RNA", at positions 512 to 1108 of the family's 1831-position model. Lineage: Eukaryota; Apicomplexa; Aconoidasida; Piroplasmida; Theileriidae. The record is from RNAcentral.
GAAUGAUGGGAAUUUAAACCUCUUCCAGAGUAUCAAUUGGAGGGCAAGUCUGGUGCCAGCAGCCGCGGUAAUUCCAGCUCCAAUAGCGUAUAUUAAAAUUGUUGCAGUUAAAAAGCUCGUAGUUGAAUUUCUGCUGCAUUGCUUGUGUCCCUCUGGGGUCUGUGCAUGUGGCUUUUUUCGGACGGAGUUUCUUUGUCUGAAUGUUUACUUUGAGAAAAUUAGAGUGCUCAAAGCAGGCUUUCGCCUUGAAUAGUUUAGCAUGGAAUAAUAAAGUAGGACUUUGGUUCUAUUUUGUUGGUUUUAGGUACCAAAGUAAUGGUUAAUAGGAACAGUUGGGGGCAUUCGUAUUUAACUGUCAGAGGUGAAAUUCUUAGAUUUGUUAAAGACGAACUACUGCGAAAGCAUUUGCCAAGGAUGUUUUCAUUAAUCAAGAACGAAAGUUAGGGGAUCGAAGACGAUCAGAUACCGUCGUAGUCCUAACCAUAAACUAUGCCGACUAGAGAUUGGAGGUCGUCAGUUUUUACGACUCCUUCAGCACCUUGAGAGAACAAGCUUUU